UGAGGAAUAUUGGUCAAUGGGCGAGAGCCUGAACCAGCCAAGUAGCGUGCAGGAUGACGGCCCUAUGGGUUGUAAACUGCUUUUAUGUGGGGAUAAAGUGCGUGACGUGUCAUGCAUUGCAGGUACCACAUGAAUAAGGACCGGCUAAUUCCGUGCCAGCAGCCGCGGUAAUACGGAAGGUCCGGGCGUUAUCCGGAUUUAUUGGGUUUAAAGGGAGCGUAGGCUGUCUAUUAAGCGUGUUGUGAAAUUUACCGGCUCAACCGGUGGCUUGCAGCGCGAACUGGUCGACUUGAGUAUGCAGGAAGUAGGCGGAAUUCAUGGUGUAGCGGUGAAAUGCUUAGAUAUCAUGACGAACUCCGAUUGCGCAGGCAGCUUACUGUAGCAUAACUGACGCUGAUGCUCGAAAGUGCGGGUAUCGAACAGG
RNAcentral lists this ribosomal RNA (424 nucleotides) under Verrucomicrobiota bacterium. Its description in RNAcentral is "Verrucomicrobia bacterium partial 16S ribosomal RNA". It matches the Rfam family "Bacterial small subunit ribosomal RNA", at positions 355 to 776 of the family's 1533-position model. The record is from RNAcentral. Lineage: Bacteria; Pseudomonadati; Verrucomicrobiota.